AGGGUGAUGAAAUUUGGAGUUUACGUCUUUCAUACUUGAUUGCAACCCAACUUCAAUCCAAAUAACUUGGAGGAAUUCCAGGGAUAACAUAUUUCAAUCCCAAGUUUAGAAAAUGAAUAAGGGUCUUCUUUGCCAUGACAUAAUUACAAUUUAUAUAAAGAUCAAGACAGUGAAAUAGAUUAGACCUAAUUUUAGUCCACAAGUUUUUUUUUUCCUUUUCCUUUUCACAACUUCUUUUUGCUUUUUUGUUUUU
This 253-nucleotide unclassified non-coding RNA is filed under the name Hevea brasiliensis (rubber tree). The record is from RNAcentral. Lineage: Eukaryota; Viridiplantae; Streptophyta; Magnoliopsida; Malpighiales; Euphorbiaceae.